GUGCCAGCAGCAGCGGUAAUACAGAGGCCCCAAGCGUUACCCGGAAUCACUGGGCGUAAAGUGUGUGUAGGCGGUUGUGUUAGUCUUCUGUUAAAUUUCCGCGCUUAACGUGGAGUCCGCAGGGGAAACGGCACAACUAGAGGGUGUGAGAGGUUUGUGGAACUCAUAGUGUAGGGGUGAAAUCCGUUGAUAUUAUGGGGAACACCAAAAGCGAAGGCAACAAACUGGCACACUCCUGACGCUGAGACACGAAAGCGUGGGUAGCGAACGGGAUUAGAUACCCCGGUAGUCCACGCCCUAAACGAUGUCCGUUAGCUCUUUGGAGUAUCGACCCUCUGAGGGGCAAAGCUAACGCGUUAAACGGACCGCCUGGGUAGUACGGCCGCAAGGCUAAAACUCAAAGGAAUAGACGGGGGCUCGCACAAGCGGUGGAUCAUGUGGCUUAAUUCGUCGAUAAACGAAGAACCUUACCAGGAUUUGAAAUCAAACUGAAAGUUCCGUGAAAGCGGAACCCUCUUCGGACAGUUUGGCAGGUGUUGCAUGGCCGUCGUCAGUUCGUGAUUUGAAUUGUUCCCUUAAGUGGGGAAACGAACGCAACCCUUAUUGCCUGUUACAAGUGUCAGGCGAGACUGCUCCCUCACGGGAGAGGAAGGUGGGGAUGACGCCAGGUCAGUAUGACCCUUUGAUAUCCUGGGCUGCACACGUGAUACAAUGGUUACUACAACAGGACGCAAUACCGUAAGGUGGAGCAAAUCCUUAUAAAAGUAGCCCAAGUUCGGAUUGAGGUCUGCAAUUUGACCUCAUGAAGUUGGAAUCGCUAGUAAUCGCAGGUCAGCUAUACUGCGGUG
This 848-nucleotide ribosomal RNA is filed under the name marine metagenome. Its description in RNAcentral is "bacterial SSU rRNA". It matches the Rfam family "Bacterial small subunit ribosomal RNA", at positions 505 to 1364 of the family's 1533-position model. The record is from RNAcentral.